RNAcentral lists this long non-coding RNA (518 nucleotides) under Vitis vinifera (wine grape). RNAcentral describes it as "long non-coding RNA (VVIN_LNC004539)". Lineage: Eukaryota; Viridiplantae; Streptophyta; Magnoliopsida; Vitales; Vitaceae. The record is from RNAcentral.
ACCUUUGCUGCUGGAGCAGCUGGCUUAGCCUUCGAUGGCGUCGGUGCUUUCUUUCCCGGAGUUGUCCUUGUAGACGUCCUGGCAGCCUUAGCAGGUCUUGCAGCCGGCUUCGACUUCGGCUUCACUGCCGGUUUGGCCUUAGGCUUAGGUUUUGGCUUAGCAGCGACAGCUUUGGGCGCAGCAGGGGCUUUUCGAGGAACCGCCUUUGGCUUCACAGCAGCCUUCGGCUUGGCAGGAGCUGCUUUCGGCUUGACAGGAGCUGCUUUCGACUUGGCAGCAGCCUUCGGUUUGGUGGUAGCCUUAGGCUUCGGCUUAGCUGCAGCUUUCGGCUUCGCUGGUGCUUUCGCAGGCUUUGUUGGCUUCGGUUUUGCUGCGGCGGGCUUCUUAGCUGCCUUCGAUGGGGCCGAUCGAGAACUCGGAAGUUUGUACGAGUUCUUCACCUUCACGAGCUUUUCAGAAGCCACGAGCUUCUUCAAAUGCACGAGCAAAAGCUUCCUGAAAUUCGAAGGCAACUUCUU